Molecule: long non-coding RNA, 736 nt
Organism: Felis catus (domestic cat)
Lineage: Eukaryota; Metazoa; Chordata; Mammalia; Carnivora; Felidae
Exons: 4
Source: RefSeq, a predicted model, not a curated record
CUUCACAUGGGGUCAUCGCCCCUUCUGGGGCUGGGUAAACAGAGGUGUGCGGGCACAGGUGAUGUGACAGUGGCCCGCUCUGGCUUCCCGCGUGUGCUGCCUACCUCAACAAUACCUGUGUCACUGCUGUAGAACGGCUGUAAAACAGAAGGAAGCCAGAGUCACCCACACGUCCAGAGCCAGAGGGAACCGGGUGGCCUUGUAGCCGCAUCCUGUCGUCCUGGCCCCAGAAUACAGGAUCGAGGAACCAGAAGCCAGGUUCAUAGAAAAUACCCAAACUGCAGCGCAGAGAGAAAAGACAGAUGUCGCUCGUCACAGUGUCCCUGGUUGGGAUCCUCUCAGUGCGUGUUCCUCACGGCUUCUAGAGCAGAUCGCUUUCCUCCGGUUGACUUCCGGUUCCUCCGUGACCUUUCCUGUGUUUGCUUUCUGCCGAGCGAUCUUUUCAUUUCUGACACUCAGGCAGAAGUUCCACUGAAGGCCUCUGAUUGGUCCUCUCGUUUCUUCAGUGCCUUUAGUCUUGAUUUUUAACGAAAGCUCGAAGCAGAUACUUCAAAAUACAUACUUCUCCAUUUGGAAAUUUUUGUAAAAUAUACUUCUUAUCCUCAACUUGCUUGUUAUCUUCUCUACUUUUAGAAUGAAGGAUUUGGGGCGCCUGGGUGGCUCAGUCGGUUGAGCAUCUGACUUCGGCUCGGGUCAUGGUCUCGCGGUUCGCGGGUUCGAGCCCCACGUCGGGCUC